GUGGGGAAUAUUGGACAAUGGGCGAAAGCCUGAUCCAGCCAUGCCGCGUGUGUGAAGAAGGUCUUCGGAUUGUAAAGCACUUUAAGUUGGGAGGAAGGGCAGUAAGUUAAUACCUUGCUGUUUUGACGUUACCGACAGAAUAAGCACCGGCUAACUUCGUGCCAGCAGCCGCGGUAAUACGAAGGGUGCAAGCGUUAAUCGGAAUUACUGGGCGUAAAGCGCGCGUAGGUGGUUCAGCAAGUUGGAGGUGAAAUCCCCGGGCUCAACCUGGGAAUUGCAUCCAAAACUACUGAGCUAGAGUACGGUAGAGGGUGGUGGAAUUUCCUGUGUAGCGGUGAAAUGCGUAGAUAUAGGAAGGAACACCAGUGGCGAAGGCGACCACCUGGACUGAUACUGACACUGAGGUGCGAAAGCGUGGGGAGCAAACAGGAUUAGAUACCCGUGUAGUCC
RNAcentral lists this ribosomal RNA (450 nucleotides) under uncultured bacterium. RNAcentral describes it as "partial 16S ribosomal RNA". It matches the Rfam family "Bacterial small subunit ribosomal RNA", at positions 354 to 796 of the family's 1533-position model. The record is from RNAcentral.